This 2774-nucleotide ribosomal RNA is filed under the name Escherichia coli. RNAcentral describes it as "bacterial LSU rRNA". It matches the Rfam family "Bacterial large subunit ribosomal RNA". The record is from RNAcentral. RNAcentral also lists the same sequence under 2 other names. Lineage: Bacteria; Pseudomonadati; Pseudomonadota; Gammaproteobacteria; Enterobacterales; Enterobacteriaceae.
AGCGUACACGGUGGAUGCCCUGGCAGUCAGAGGCGAUGAAGGACGUGCUAAUCUGCGAUAAGCGUCGGUAAGGUGAUAUGAACCGUUAUAACCGGCGAUUUCCGAAUGGGGAAACCCAGUGUGAUUCGUCACACUAUCAUUAACUGAAUCCAUAGGUUAAUGAGGCGAACCGGGGGAACUGAAACAUCUAAGUACCCCGAGGAAAAGAAAUCAACCGAGAUUCCCCCAGUAGCGGCGAGCGAACGGGGAGGAGCCCAGAGCCUGAAUCAGUGUGUGUGUUAGUGGAAGCGUCUGGAAAGGCGCGCGAUACAGGGUGACAGCCCCGUACACAAAAAUGCACAUGCUGUGAGCUCGAUGAGUAGGGCGGGACACGUGGUAUCCUGUCUGAAUAUGGGGGGACCAUCCUCCAAGGCUAAAUACUCCUGACUGACCGAUAGUGAACCAGUACCGUGAGGGAAAGGCGAAAAGAACCCCGGCGAGGGGAGUGAAAAAGAACCUGAAACCGUGUACGUACAAGCAGUGGGAGCACAGAGCAAUCUGUGUGACUGCGUACCUUUUGUAUAAUGGGUCAGCGACUUAUAUUCUGUAGCAAGGUUAACCGAAUAGGGGAGCCGAAGGGAAACCGAGUCUUAACCGGGCGUUAAGUUGCAGGGUAUAGACCCGAAACCCGGUGAUCUAGCCAUGGGCAGGUUGAAGGUUGGGUAACACUAACUGGAGGACCGAACCGACUAAUGUUGAAAAAUUAGCGGAUGACUUGUGGCUGGGGGUGAAAGGCCAAUCAAACCGGGAGAUAGCUGGUUCUCCCCGAAAGCUAUUUAGGUAGCGCCUCGUGAAUUCAUCUCCGGGGGUAGAGCACUGUUUCGGCAAGGGGGUCAUCCCGACUUACCAACCCGAUGCAAACUGCGAAUACCGGAGAAUGUUAUCACGGGAGACACACGGCGGGUGCUAACGUCCGUCGUGAAGAGGGAAACAACCCAGACCGCCAGCUAAGGUCCCAAAGUCAUGGUUAAGUGGGAAACGAUGUGGGAAGGCCCAGACAGCCAGGAUGUUGGCUUAGAAGCAGCCAUCAUUUAAAGAAAGCGUAAUAGCUCACUGGUCGAGUCGGCCUGCGCGGAAGAUGUAACGGGGCUAAACCAUGCACCGAAGCUGCGGCAGCGACACUGUGUGUUGUUGGGUAGGGGAGCGUUCUGUAAGCCUGUGAAGGUGUGCUGUGAGGCAUGCUGGAGGUAUCAGAAGUGCGAAUGCUGACAUAAGUAACGAUAAAGCGGGUGAAAAGCCCGCUCGCCGGAAGACCAAGGGUUCCUGUCCAACGUUAAUCGGGGCAGGGUGAGUCGACCCCUAAGGCGAGGCCGAAAGGCGUAGUCGAUGGGAAACAGGUUAAUAUUCCUGUACUUGGUGUUACUGCGAAGGGGGGACGGAGAAGGCUAUGUUGGCCGGGCGACGGUUGUCCCGGUUUAAGCGUGUAGGCUGGUUUUCCAGGCAAAUCCGGAAAAUCAAGGCUGAGGCGUGAUGACGAGGCACUACGGUGCUGAAGCAACAAAUGCCCUGCUUCCAGGAAAAGCCUCUAAGCAUCAGGUAACAUCAAAUCGUACCCCAAACCGACACAGGUGGUCAGGUAGAGAAUACCAAGGCGCUUGAGAGAACUCGGGUGAAGGAACUAGGCAAAAUGGUGCCGUAACUUCGGGAGAAGGCACGCUGAUAUGUAGGUGAAGUCCCUCGCGGAUGGAGCUGAAAUCAGUCGAAGAUACCAGCUGGCUGCAACUGUUUAUUAAAAACACAGCACUGUGCAAACACGAAAGUGGACGUAUACGGUGUGACGCCUGCCCGGUGCCGGAAGGUUAAUUGAUGGGGUCAGCGCAAGCGAAGCUCUUGAUCGAAGCCCCGGUAAACGGCGGCCGUAACUAUAACGGUCCUAAGGUAGCGAAAUUCCUUGUCGGGUAAGUUCCGACCUGCACGAAUGGCGUAAUGAUGGCCAGGCUGUCUCCACCCGAGACUCAGUGAAAUUGAACUCGCUGUGAAGAUGCAGUGUACCCGCGGCAAGACGGAAAGACCCCGUGAACCUUUACUAUAGCUUGACACUGAACAUUGAGCCUUGAUGUGUAGGAUAGGUGGGAGGCUUUGAAGUGUGGACGCCAGUCUGCAUGGAGCCGACCUUGAAAUACCACCCUUUAAUGUUUGAUGUUCUAACGUGGACCCGUGAUCCGGGUUGCGGACAGUGUCUGGUGGGUAGUUUGACUGGGGCGGUCUCCUCCUAAAGAGUAACGGAGGAGCACGAAGGUUGGCUAAUCCUGGUCGGACAUCAGGAGGUUAGUGCAAUGGCAUAAGCCAGCUUGACUGCGAGCGUGACGGCGCGAGCAGGUGCGAAAGCAGGUCAUAGUGAUCCGGUGGUUCUGAAUGGAAGGGCCAUCGCUCAACGGAUAAAAGGUACUCCGGGGAUAACAGGCUGAUACCGCCCAAGAGUUCAUAUCGACGGCGGUGUUUGGCACCUCGAUGUCGGCUCAUCACAUCCUGGGGCUGAAGUAGGUCCCAAGGGUAUGGCUGUUCGCCAUUUAAAGUGGUACGCGAGCUGGGUUUAGAACGUCGUGAGACAGUUCGGUCCCUAUCUGCCGUGGGCGCUGGAGAACUGAGGGGGGCUGCUCCUAGUACGAGAGGACCGGAGUGGACGCAUCACUGGUGUUCGGGUUGUCAUGCCAAUGGCACUGCCCGGUAGCUAAAUGCGGAAGAGAUAAGUGCUGAAAGCAUCUAAGCACGAAACUUGCCCCGAGAUGAGUUCU